RNAcentral lists this ribosomal RNA (975 nucleotides) under Russula sp. RNAcentral's name for it is "partial 28S large subunit ribosomal RNA". It matches the Rfam family "Eukaryotic large subunit ribosomal RNA", at positions 28 to 982 of the family's 3401-position model. The record is from RNAcentral. Lineage: Eukaryota; Fungi; Basidiomycota; Agaricomycetes; Russulales; Russulaceae.
CUGGAACUAAGCAUAUCAAUAAGCGGAGGAAAAGAAACUAACAAGGAUUCCCCUAGUACUGCGAGUGAAGCGGGAAAAGCUCAAAUUUAAAAUCUGGUGGUCUUUGGCCAUCCGAGUUGUAAUUUAGAGAAGCGUCUUCCGCGCUGGACCGUGCACAAGUCUCCUGGAAUGGAGCGUCAUAGAGGGUGAGAAUCCCGUCUUUGGCACGGACAAGCCAGGGCUUUUGUGAUGCGCUCUCGAAGAGUCGAGUUGUUUGSGAAUGCAGCUCAAAAUGGGUGGUGAACUCCAUCUAAAGCUAAAUAUUGGCGAGAGACCGAUAGCGAACAAGUAYCGUGAGGGAAAGAUGAAAAGCACUUUGGAAAGAGAGUGAAACAGUACGUGAAAUUGUUGAAAGGGAAACGCUUGAAGUCAGUCGCGUCGACCGAGACUCAGCCUCGCCUUGGCUUGGUGUAAUUCUCGGCUGACGGGUCAGCAUCAAUUUUGCCUCUUGGAUAAUGGCGAGGGAAAUGUGACACCUUUACGGUGUGUUAUAGUCUCUCGUCGCAUGCAAGGGUUGGGAUUGAGGAACUCAGCACGCGCCUUCGGGUGUCGGGGUUAUGCCCACGAUACGUGCUUAGGAUGUUGGCAUAAUGGCUUUAAACGACCCGUCUUGAAACACGGACCAAGGAGUCUAACAUGCCUGCGAGUGUUCGGGUGGAAAACCCGUGCGCGCAAUGAAAGUGAAAGUUGGGACCUCUGUCGUGGAGGGCAYCGACGCCCGGACCAGACCUUCUGUGACGGCUCUGCGGUAAAGCAUGUAUGUUAGGACCCGAAAGAUGGUGAACUAUGCCUGAAUAGGGUGAAGCCAGAGGAAACUCUGGUGGAGGCUCGUAGCGAUUCUGACGUGCAAAUCGAUCGUCAAAUUUGGGUAUAGGGGCGAAAGACUAAUCGAACCAUCUAAUAGCUGGUUCCUGCCGAAGUUCCCCUCAGGAAAGG